UUGAUCUUAUUUAUGAUAUGUUU
Molecule: small nuclear RNA, 23 nt
Filed under: Arabidopsis thaliana (thale cress)
Lineage: Eukaryota; Viridiplantae; Streptophyta; Magnoliopsida; Brassicales; Brassicaceae
Description: snRNA_16287
Source: RNAcentral